This 2077-nucleotide long non-coding RNA is filed under the name Oncorhynchus kisutch (coho salmon). RNAcentral describes it as "lncRNA (ENSOKIG00005037176.1)". The record is from RNAcentral. Lineage: Eukaryota; Metazoa; Chordata; Actinopteri; Salmoniformes; Salmonidae.
CCCGAGUUAAACCCAUGUCUCACAGCCCUUUGUCUACUGUUUCCAAUUGCAAUUGCUAAACAUCUGAAUAAACUCCUGGCUUUGUCUUUCAGGUCAAGUCUACCUCAAAGAUGUGUCAUGUUACUUCUCUGUGAUGGAGGAGGAAGAGACGCCAGACAAACUAGAACGUGCUGAAGGACAUGAUGAAGGCCAUCGAUGCUGGGAUUAACAAUGUGCCCCUGCUGGUGCUGCUGGGACUCAAGACAAGAAGCACUGACAGUCAGACUCUGAUGGCAGAAAUGGACAGGCAGCACAUCUGGAGGAUGAAGUACUUUAACAAGCCUGUGUACUGCAGCGUAUGUCAGAGCAUGCUACUGGGCCUCAGGAAAUGAGGCCUUUCCUGCAUCUGUAAGAGCUCUAUCCCGUCACUAGGGGGCGAUCUCUAUGUGUCUGAUAUUCAUAGACCGGAGUUCUGUGUGUUCCGGUAGACUGUAGUUCUGUGGUCACUAACUGAACUCUGGUCCUUGAGAGAGCUACAGUGUAUAGGCCUAAGGGCAUACAAGCUUUUGUCCCAGCCCAGCAAUUGACUAAUUUAACUAACCAAGUCCUGUAUCAGUAGUUGAUUAGUUGAAUCGUGUGUUGGGGCUGGGUUGGAAUAAAAGCCUGCAUGUCCGAUAGUUAUUCAGGACCAGGGUUGGUGAUCACUGCUGUUGUUCUUUAUGCCCCCUGAUUGCUGGACAGAUGUGUGCCAUAUCAUUCUCAAAACGAAUCCAAAUCCAAAUGAUGGGGAGCCCUGCCUAUGUAGAUUGAUGGGGAGCACUGCCUAUGUAGAUUGAUGGGGAGCACUGCCUAUGUAGAUUGAUGGUGAGCACUGCCUAUGUAGAUUGAUGGGGAGCCCUGCCUAUGUAGAUUGAUGGGGAGCACUGCCUAUGUAGAUUGAUGGUGAGCACUGCCUAUGUAGAUUGAUGGUGAGCACUGCCUAUGUAGAUUGAUGGUGAGCACUGCCUAUGUAGAUUGAUGGUGAGCACUGCAUAUGUAGAUUGAUGGUGAGCCUUGCCUAUGUAGAUUGAUGGUGAGCACUGCCUAUGUAGAUUGAUGGUGAGCCCUGCCUAUGUAGAUUGAUGGUGAGCACUGCCUAUGUAGAUUGAUGGUGAGCACUGCCUAUGUAGAUUGAUGGGGAGCCCUGCCUAUGUAGAUUGAUGGGGAGCCCUGCCUAUGUAGAUUGAUGGGGAGCCCUGCCUAUGUAGAUUGAUGGGGAGCCCUGCCUAUGUAGAUUGAUGGUGAGCACUGCCUAUGUAGAUUGAUGGUGAGCACUGCCUAUGUAGAUUGAUGGUGAGCACUGCCUAUGUAGAUUGAUGGUGAGCACUGCCUAUGUAGAUUGAUGGUGAGCCUUGCCUAUGUAGAUUGAUGGUGAGCACUGCCUAUGUAGAUUGAUGGGGAGCCCUGCCUAUGUAGAUUGAUGGGGAGCACUGCCUAUGUAGAUUGAUGGUGAGCACUGCCUAUGUAGAUUGAUGGUGAGCACUGCCUAUGUAGAUUGAUGGUGAGCACUGCCUAUGUAGAUUGAUGGUGAGCACUGCAUAUGUAGAUUGAUGGUGAGCCUUGCCUAUGUAGAUUGAUGGUGAGCACUGCCUAUGUAGAUUGAUGGUGAGCCCUGCCUAUGUAGAUUGAUGGUGAGCACUGCCUAUGUAGAUUGAUGGGGAGCCCUGCCUAUGUAGAUUGAUGGGGAGCCCUGCCUAUGUAGAUUGAUGGGGAGCCCUGCCUAUGUAGAUUGAUGGUGAGCACUGCCUAUGUAGAUUGAUGGUGAGCACUGCCUAUGUAGAUUGAUGGUGAGCACUGCCUAUGUAGAUUGAUGGUGAGCACUGCCUAUGUAGAUUGAUGGUGAGCCUUGCCUAUGUAGAUUGAUGGUGAGCCAUGCCUAUGUAGAUUGAUGGUGAGCCAUGCCUAUGUAGAUUGAUGGUGAGCCCUGCCUAUGUAGAUUGAUGGUGAGCCCUGCCUAUGUAGAUUGAUGGUGAGCCUUGCCUAUGUAGAUUGAUGGUGAGCCCUGCCUAUGUAGAUUGAUGGUGAGCCCUGCCUAUGUAGAAUGAUGGUGAGCCCUGGA